Molecule: ribosomal RNA, 441 nt
Filed under: uncultured bacterium
Lineage: Bacteria
Description: bacterial SSU rRNA
Rfam family: Bacterial small subunit ribosomal RNA
Source: RNAcentral
UUGACUGAAGGAGCAAUCUGACAGUAGAGUGGCGCAAGGGUGCGUAACGCGUAAGUAACUUGCCCCAAGGUAAGGAAUAACGUCGAGAAAUCGGCGCUAAUACCUCAUAAUGCAGCGGAUCCGCAUGGAUAUGUUGUUAAAGGUUUACCGCCUUGGGAUAGGCUUGCGUCUGAUUAGCUAGUUGGUGUGGUAACGGCACACCAAGGCUACGAUCAGUAACUGGUCUGAGAGGAUGAUCAGUCACACUGGAACUGAGACACGGUCCAGACUCCUACGGGAGGCAGCAGUGAGGAAUAUUGGGCAAUGCUCGAAAGAGUGACCCAGCAACGCCGCGUGGAGGAUGAAGGUAUUCUAUAUCGUAAACUCCUGUGAGAGCAGACGAAAGACAGAUUAUUAAUCUGGAUGACUGUAUGCUCAGAGGAAGCCCCGGCUAACUACGUG